GAGGAAACUAAGGCUUUGAAAAGCAAUUUGCUCGAGGGCACACAAUGCGUAAGGGGCAGGAUCAUCUCCUAGGUUCAGUUCUCUUUCCAUCAUGCCGCGUUGCUCUGCCUUAAGUCUCUUCUGACAGCGGGACACGAGUCAAUGGCGGAUGAUUGCCUCCUCCCUAACUCCUGCCCUUUCCCCUACUCCCUGGACUGCUUGUGCCACUGGCAUUUAUGGGCAGUAUUUAAACAUUCUCGUGGCAUUUGGGACUAGAGAAGGGCCUUAAAGCUACUCUAUCCCCUUGCCUGGAAAACUGGGAACUUGCAAAAGAAAUGAGGGUCAGAGCCAUCACGGGACGCAACACAAGCUCUGGAGCCCCCUGGUGACCAGCAUCAUGAAUUACAUUAUCCUAUGUAUGAAAACGGAUCUCCAAAGGUCAAGGCACAGGAUGGGAUCAGCUAAGGUUGUUAGAGGAGAAGGAGGAAGAGGAGGAGGAAGAAGAAGAAAAGGAAGAGGAGAAGGAACAGGAAGAGGAGGAGAAGGAGGAAAGGGUGAGGGAGAAGGAAGAGGAGGAGGAGGAGGAAGAGAACAGUGACUGGAAAGAUGGGUGGGACCACUUUGAAGAACUAUAAACUCUAAACAAAAGAGUCUAUAUUUAAUCCUAGAUUAAAUUUCACUUAACUCUAUUUGCCUCCGUUUUCUCAUUAUAAAAGGAGCUGGAGAAGGAAACACCAAACCACUCUAGUAUCUUUGCCAAGAAAACCCCAAAUAGGGUCAGGAAAAGUCAGAAACUGCUGAAGUAAUUGAAUAACAAUAAAGUUUACAGGAGAGGGAAAAGACA
This 823-nucleotide long non-coding RNA is filed under the name Monodelphis domestica (gray short-tailed opossum). RNAcentral describes it as "lncRNA (ENSMODG00000035595.2)". Lineage: Eukaryota; Metazoa; Chordata; Mammalia; Didelphimorphia; Didelphidae. The record is from RNAcentral.